GUACCAUGGGCCCCUUCCUUCGCUACCUCGCUGCAGGGUCAGUCGCAGCAUGGGUGCAAGGUGCGGUCUACGGGGCCCCCGCAACCGGCUUCUCCGUGCUGCAAUCAGCAGGAGCGAAGAGCGCGUGGGCCUUCCUGUGAUGGUCAAUCCGCUCGUCAUGGUCCACGGCGGCAUAACCAGCACAGCGGCGGUCUGGCCCAUCGUGAUUUGGUUCUUGC
Molecule: unclassified non-coding RNA, 218 nt
Filed under: Hevea brasiliensis (rubber tree)
Lineage: Eukaryota; Viridiplantae; Streptophyta; Magnoliopsida; Malpighiales; Euphorbiaceae
Source: RNAcentral